RNAcentral lists this ribosomal RNA (253 nucleotides) under uncultured bacterium. RNAcentral describes it as "partial 16S ribosomal RNA". It matches the Rfam family "Bacterial small subunit ribosomal RNA", at positions 524 to 776 of the family's 1533-position model. The record is from RNAcentral.
UACGUAGGGGGCAAGCGUUGUCCGGAUUUAUUGGGCGUAAAGAGCGUGUAGGCGGUUUGGUAGGUCCGUUGUGAAAACUCGAGGCUCAACCUCGAGACGCCGAUGGAAACCAUCAGACUAGAGUCCGGAAGAGGAGACUGGAAUUCCUGGUGUAGCGGUGAAAUGCGCAGAUAUCAGGAGGAACACCGGUGGCGAAGGCGGGUCUCUGGGCCGAUACUGACGCUGAGGAGCGAAAGCGUGGGGAGCGAACAGG